Molecule: unclassified non-coding RNA, 227 nt
Filed under: plant metagenome
Description: partial contains small subunit ribosomal RNA and internal transcribed spacer 1
Rfam family: Eukaryotic small subunit ribosomal RNA (bases 1-46)
Source: RNAcentral
AAGUCGUAACAAGGUUUCCGUAGGUGAACCUGCGGAAGGAUCAUUACCGUGCUCUGGGUCCCCCGGGGGCCGACACCCCCACCCUUUGUAGUUACUUGACUAUCGUUGCUUCGCGGGACGGCCCCCUCGGGGUGCCGCCGGGUCCCUAAGCGCCCGGAGAGGCCCGCCGGAGGACCACAACACAGCCUUUGAACGAGUACGUCAGAGUAAGAAUUUAAUAUUCAAAA